UAAACGAUGAGUGCUAAGUGUUAGAGGGUUUCCGCCCUUUAGUGCUGAAGUUAACGCAUUAAGCACUCCGCCUGGGGAGUACGGCCGCAAGGGCUGAAACUCAAAGGAAUUGACGGGGGCCCGCACAAGCGGUGGAGCAUGUGGUUUAAUUCGAAGCAACGCGAAGAACCUUACCAGGUCUUGACAUCCUCUGAAAACCCUAGAGAUAGGGCUUCUCCUUCGGGAGCAGAGUGACAGGUGGUGCAUGGUUGUCGUCAGCUCGUGUCGUGAGAUGUUGGGUUAAGUCCCGCAACGAGCGCAACCCUUGAUCUUAGUUGCCAUCAUUAAGUUGGGCACUCUAAGGUGACUGCCGGUGACAACCGGAGGAAGGUGGGGAUGACGUCAAAUCAUCAUGCCCCUUAUGACCUGGGCUACACACGUGCUACAAUGGACGGUACAAAGAGCUGCAAGACCGCGAGGUGGAGCUAAUCUCAUAAAACCGUUCUCAGUUCGGAUUGUAGGCUGCAACUCGCCUACAUGAAGCUGGAAUCGCUAGUAAUCGCGGAUCAGCAUGCCGCGGUGAAUACGUUCCGGCCUGUACACACCGCCCGUCACACCACGA
This 601-nucleotide ribosomal RNA is filed under the name Bacillus sp. WBUNB009. Its description in RNAcentral is "bacterial SSU rRNA". It matches the Rfam family "Bacterial small subunit ribosomal RNA", at positions 803 to 1407 of the family's 1533-position model. Lineage: Bacteria; Bacillati; Bacillota; Bacilli; Caryophanales; Bacillaceae. The record is from RNAcentral.